UGUAUUAAAGGCUCCUGUAAGAGGGACUUUUAUUAUGAAACCGGAAUUGUUAUAGUACGACGUUAGGGGGCAGUGUAGUUUGAUGAGCUGCCGCUGUUUGGUGUGUUCGUGUGAUCUGUCCAAGCCAUCAGCUGCAAGGAUGAUGCUUCCAGUUUAUUUGUGGAGAUUGUUGCAGAUUUAAUAUCAGGGUGUUAGUCACUGACCACAAAACUAUCUACGCCUUUGAUUGUACAUCUGUGGGCCUUCCUUUUCUCUACUAAUACAACAUUGAAAGCUAAUCACCUGCCUCCUCAUUAUUGGUGCUCUGACCGGCACCCAGGGGGGUUUACUCAUCCAUUACCUGAUCAGAACCUAACAGUCCUAAAGUCUCUCCAACAAAUUUGGUCCUUCGAGCCGGAUGAGUAUUCCCUUUUGACAUGAUGGAUCCUGAUGAGGAGAUUGUUAGUGGUGCUCGUCCUAAACGUCAUACUCGUCCACCAGCUCACCUUCAGCAGUAUGAAGUACAGUAUACCCGAGUCAGACCUGUCGCUGAGUAUGAUGUUCCGCAUCCUUUGGAGGCACCUGUCCGCCGGACUACCCCCCUAUCCUUCCAGCCUUACGCCACUCCCCCUGGUGGUGACCUGGUCUGUUCUGAUGGCUCACAGAUCAUAGCCUCAAAUUAUCAGCCUCCACAGCAUGCUGAAUUCCAUCAGUCAUCCUUCUCCUCGCCUCAAGCAGCUGGUUUGAUUUCCUCUGCACACGGCAGUGAAUUAGAGCACCUGCGUCAUGAGCAUGCACAACUUAUUCAGACUCAUCAGGCUUUCCAAGCAGACCUGAGGGAGCUGAGAGAAGUCCGUGCGGAAGUCAGAGAAUUAGUUCAAGUUGCUCAGUCACUUCGAGCUGACCUUAGUCUAACCAGAGGCCAGAAUCUCUCAUCAGCACAGCCACCAGCAUUGCAGCUAUCCAGUCCUCCUGUGAGGCGGUAUGAAUCCACACCUUUCGCGGAUGAGGGAAAUUUUGCGGAUCUUCCCCCACCACCCUGGCCUGAGCCUGACGUUGACUGGAUGAACCAGACUAUCUACGCCUUUGAUUGUACAUCUGUGGGCCUUCCUUUUCUCUACUAAUACAACAUUGAAAGCUAAUCACCUGCCUCCUCAUUAUUGGUGCUCUGACCGGCACCCAGGGGGGUUUACUCAUCCAUUACCUGAUCAGAACCUAACAGUCCUAAAG
Molecule: long non-coding RNA, 1209 nt
Organism: Cyprinus carpio carpio
Lineage: Eukaryota; Metazoa; Chordata; Actinopteri; Cypriniformes; Cyprinidae
Source: Ensembl